This 2314-nucleotide long non-coding RNA is filed under the name Helianthus annuus (common sunflower). RNAcentral's name for it is "hypothetical non coding rna". The record is from RNAcentral. Lineage: Eukaryota; Viridiplantae; Streptophyta; Magnoliopsida; Asterales; Asteraceae.
UUAGAGGUACUAUACUUAACACGAGUGCAAUAUAUAUUUUAAUAAGCCCAAAAGUUAUACUCAAAAUUUAUACAAGGAGGUUUUCUAGUUGAACCCUAAAGUUACAAAGUGGGUCCAUUCUCUUUUCUCACCGUUUUACUUCCUUUUUGUGAUUUGCCCAAAACUAUUAUUUUUGUAAACAAAUCUCGUCAAAAGUUAUAUCUAUUAUUUUAUUUACCUAACAGGAAACCCUAGUUGAGACACCCAAGUAAUUCUACAUAAUCCCUAAAAUUUUCAGAAUAAACAGAAUCAGGAUCAGGGCCCCUAAAACUCAAAGGGGAUAAACCCUAAUCAAUAUUUAUCUUCUAAAUUCGUUGUUGAAAUUGAAAGUGAUCGUACAAUCAACUCAUCAAACCUAUACCACCGACUAGGCUACCCUAUAAUUAGACCACACCCCUUACGGACCGUAAGGGUUAUGGCUUACGGUCCGUAAGCGAGGCUAUUUUCCGGGUAUAAAUAGAGGACCUUGGGACUUGCUUGAAGAAGUUGAAACGACGCACAAAUUCACUGUGAACGUCGGAUUAGAGCAGUAGUAGUACAAUUAAACACACACGGGUCACGAAGUGCUGCUACGAUACAGGGUAUUAACUCGAUCGCUAUUACGAUUCAUUUUCCGACCGAUCAAUAUAUCCAAUGGAUUUUUAAGUGCCACCCACAUUAGGGUUAUACUUUGUCGUUCGUCGUUAAUUCGAUGGAUGUUUAAGUAUAGCACUUUGUCGUUCGUUGUUACAAGGCUAAGCUCUGCCUGUAUAAAUUUGCAAUAUAUCAAGGCUUACCUGUAAACUAAACUUUGGCCAUACGAAUCUGCAAGGUGAGUCAUUCUCUUUUUAUCAACUGUUUUACAAUACUCCAAAUUAUUUUCAGAAUUAUAAAUUAUAGUGAUUAAGUUUAUGUAAUCACCAAAUUACAGCCAGUAUGUGGGGUAUUGUGCACAUUACUACUGUUUUUAUCACUUUUGGUGGGCGAACCUAAAAUUAAGUGAUAUACGUCAUUCAUUGGGGCAGCCAAUGGUGAUAUGACCACAGUCACAGAUCCGGUCGAGUGACAAAUACUGUGGGUAGUUGGUAGAUAUCAGAAACAUAUGUAAAAACUCUUAAUACUGUAAAUUAUAACAAACGAGUCGUUUUAGUAAAACUGAAUGAUUCAAUCAGUAUUUCCCGCUGACAAAACCUUUUUAAAACGCGUUACAGGUAAUUACAGUAGAUUGGAGUAAGGAUUGGAUCCAACACUGAAGGACUUCAAGAAGUGGCUUAUUUUAUUAAUUAAAUCAACUUAAGAAAUAUUGUUUUUGGGUUUAUCCCGUAUUAAAAGCUACCUUUGUAAAACAUGGGUUUAUCCCAUCUAUUUAAUAAAUAAAAUCCGGUGUUUCUAAACUCUGAUAUUUUUCCUAACUCACGGUCCUGAUGAAAUUUCCGCUGCAAUAUUUUUCAAAAUAACUCACCGGUACCACUGGACUGCUCGCGGCUCCCGAUUCCGUCCAGGGUGGGUCGGGGGACGUGACAGUAAAGGUGGUAUCAGAGCCACUGCUUUAAGCCAAUAAGUGUUGUGAUAAUAAUACUUAAGCUUAAAAUAAAAGAGUUAGGAGAUUGCUAUUAACUGGUAGCAUAUCUGAUAGCAUUUAGAUUUGAACAUAAGAAAAGAUGCCUUAGUAUAAGCUAAGCCACUUAUUUAAACAAUUAGAUGUUCUAAUAAUACCUAAGUUUAAAUGGAGAAUUAGGAACUUAAUAAUUAUCCGAUAGCACUCAGGAUGAUAUUUAGACUUGAACUUAAGAAUUUUGCCUUAAAAUCAGCUUCAAGAUAAAUUACUUAUAUAAGUAUAAUGUGAUAAAUAUUGGUAUGUCAUAAGAAUGACGAUUAGCAGGUAAUAGCACUUAAUUGCUAUUUAUUCUUGUUUAUCGAUAUUACCUGGUUUAGAAUAAAAUAUGUUAUGGAAAUACAAAUUUCCUUAAUUCUGGAUAAAAGCCCUGAUAAAAGAGGCACUUUUAAAAUCUUGAAAAGAUACUAUUUAUGGGAAAUAGAAAAUUUUCUCCGGCAAAACUGGGUAUAGAGUAGCAGACUCUCCAGCUUGUCCGGAUAUACUGAGAUUACCUCUCCUGCGCGAACCGGAUAAGACGGGGUACAUAGUAUGUCAAACAAGUGACAAGAUUUCCCUAAAUAAUAUCAUGAUUUGAUAUCUGAUUUAUUUUUGGAAAUAUGAAUACAUUGACCUGACAAAUGGUAUGUUUAUUUCAGCAUGUGAAAUAUGUGAUUAUAUAGAUAGGUAUAUCUGUAAGGA